RNAcentral lists this transfer RNA (71 nucleotides) under Candidatus Iainarchaeum sp. RNAcentral describes it as "tRNA-Gly". It matches the Rfam family "tRNA". From Rfam's summary of the family: Transfer RNA (tRNA) molecules are approximately 80 nucleotides in length. The record is from RNAcentral. Lineage: Archaea; Nanobdellati; Candidatus Iainarchaeota; Candidatus Iainarchaeia; Candidatus Iainarchaeales; Candidatus Iainarchaeaceae.
GCGGAUGUCGUAUAUCGGUAGUAUUCGACCCUUCCAAGGUCGGGGGCCGGGUUCGACUCCCGGCAUCCGCA